Molecule: non-coding RNA, 1002 nt
Organism: Paramuricea clavata
Lineage: Eukaryota; Metazoa; Cnidaria; Anthozoa; Malacalcyonacea; Plexauridae
Source: the annotation of a GenBank genome assembly
CGGCUUUGUAGCAAGCUUGUUAAUAAGUUGUGACAAUGCUGUUCCAACAACUUGUCAACAAGAUUUUUCUCAACGGGUUUGUAGCAAGCUUGUUAACAAGUUGUGACAAUGCUGUUCCAACAACUUACCAACAAGAUUUAUCCUCAACAGGCUUGUAGCAAGCUUGUUAACAAGUUGUAACAAUGCUGUUCCAACAACUUGUCAACAAGAUUUAUCCUGAACAGGCUUGUAGCAAGCUUGUUAACAAGUUGUGACAAUGCUGUUCCAACAACUUGCUAAUAAGAUUUAUCCUCAACAGGCUUGUAGCAAGCUUGUUAACAAGUUGUGACAAUGCUGUUCCAACAACUUACCAACACGAUUUAUCCUCAACAGGCUUGUAGCAAGCUUGUUAACAAGUUGUGACAAUGCUGUUCCAACAACUUGCCAACAAGAUUUAUCCUCAACAGGCUUGUAGCAAACUUGUUAGCAAGUUGUAACAAUGCUGUUCCAACAACUUGUCAACAAGAUUUAUCCUCAACAGGCUUGUAGCAAGCUUGUUAACAAGUUGUGACAAUGCUGUUCCAACAACUUGUCAACAAGAUUUAUCCUCAACAGGCUUGUAGCAAGCUUGUUAACAAGUUGUGACAAUGCGGUUCCAACAACUUGCCAACAAGAUUUAUCCUCAACAGGCUUGUAGCAAGCUUGUUAACAAGUUGUGACAAUGCUGUUCCAAAAACUUGUCAACAAGAUUUAUCCCCAACAGGCUUGUAGCAAGCUUGUUAACAAGUUGUAACAAUGCUGUUCCAACAACUUCUCAACAAGAUUUAUCCUCAACAGGCUUGUAGCAAGCUUGUUAACAAGUUGUGACAAUGCUGUUCCAACAACUUCUCAACAAGAUUUAUCCUCAACAGGCUUGUAGCAAGCUUGUUAACAAGUUAUGACAAUGCUGUUCCAACAACUUGUCAACAAGAUUUAUCCUCAACAGGCUUGUAGCAAGCUUGUUAACAAGUUGUGACAAUGCUG